UGGACCAAAUUCUGUGCACUCUGCAGACUAUCCCUAAGCAGGCAACUCAGCCUGGCGAAGACAGGAAAAGAAGAGAAGCUGAUUCGACCUUUUUGAUUUGACCUUUAGGUGCUGGGGUAGCUGAUUUAUAUAGAAAGACCAGGAAGAAUCCAGCCAAGACAUUUACUGUAGUCUGACCGUGUCAUAACAGUGUUUUGGCCUUGUGCACAUACCCUACAGCUGAGCAGGCUGGGAGAGAGAGAGAGAGAGAGGUCUUCUCUGACCCUGAGGAAAAACGGGCUGUUCAUAAGUCACUCAUUAGCCUAAGAGAGAAAAAAAAAACUUUUCGUGAGAAAAAACAAGACCUAACUGGGAAAGUAGCUGUUUUUAUUCACAAGUUCCCAAAAUAACUUCCCACCCAACUGAAGAUUUAAAAAACGCCACUGUGGUCGGUUCUUAUUUUGCUUUUUUUUUUCAGGGUAUCAUUAAACAACAGCCUUCUGUUUCGAUAAACACUAAUGUCAUGUCGCCAGGGGGUGAUUUCGGUGAGGUAUUUAAAAAGACUUCACGGCUUUAGUGCUGUGCUUAUCUUGACCGCAGGGGGGCGCCGUUAGCAUGCCAGAGCGCUGCACCUGUGCGGGAAUGUGUCGUGACUUUCAAGAACUGGGAACAAGGAAACGGAAUAACUCCGACCUCUUUUGAGUCAGACCUUAAAAAGCAUGAAUUGUUAUGGGAAACCGUAUUACGAAAGGAGUGGAUAAGCGGGGGCUGAAGUCUCCAAAUAAAAAGGAUCAAAAGAAAGAUGGAAAGGCUGACCUCUCACAACAGGAAGAAGCCCACAUGUACGACGCGGUGGCUGAGAUGCCGAUCUACUCCGUGGUGAACAAGCGCCGCAAGGCCGGGGGGCAGAGGCAGGAGGAGCUGCACUACGCCGAGAUCCAGGUGCUGCAGGGGCCCCCCUCCUCCAGCAGGGGGAGCAGCGCGCCGGCGCUCCGGCAGAGCAGCAGCACGGAGUACGCCACCAUAGACUUCCAGCCGCCCCCGCCCCCGCCCCACGGCCCCCCCCGCAAGGCGUCCGGCCCCCCGCGGGCCGCCAGCGCCAGAGCCAGGACUGCCGCCAAGCCCGCAGAAAUCCGCAUCCCCUCUGGCACGGUGAAGAGACCCGCCCCCAGGCCCCAGCCGCGGAAGGGCACGCUGGUGUAG
RNAcentral lists this long non-coding RNA (1182 nucleotides) under Lepisosteus oculatus (spotted gar). RNAcentral's name for it is "lncRNA (ENSLOCG00000021847.1)". Lineage: Eukaryota; Metazoa; Chordata; Actinopteri; Semionotiformes; Lepisosteidae. The record is from RNAcentral.